UGUGAGCUGCUGAUAUUCUCUCUCUUAACAGGACUGAUGGUGAGAUCAUCUAGCAGGGCUUAGGUCUUCCACACAGCUGACGGGAGGUACAACAGAGUCACAAGAGACGCGGCGUAAACAGUCUGGGCCUCUGCAUCUCAGUAUGCGGGGCUCAAUGUCAGAUGAGUCUCAUCUCGUAAGGCAUUAGCAGUGAUCCAGGAUGUGUCGGCAUAUCUGCUGUCGAGCGGUC
Gymnogyps californianus (California condor) is the source of this 229-nucleotide long non-coding RNA. RefSeq lists it as uncharacterized. The record is from RefSeq and is a predicted model, not a curated record. NCBI's taxonomy places the organism in Eukaryota, Metazoa, Chordata, Aves, Accipitriformes, Cathartidae. The transcript is spliced from 3 exons.